This is a non-coding RNA of Pelobates cultripes (western spadefoot toad), 317 nucleotides long. Lineage: Eukaryota; Metazoa; Chordata; Amphibia; Anura; Pelobatidae. The record is from the annotation of a GenBank genome assembly.
GGAAGAGAUAUAUAGUGCAGAAUCAACACAGGCCGCUCUACUGGGUCUUGAGGAUAAACAUGUGGAGCGUUGGCGCCCAUGGCUGAUCUAUAUAGCGGAUCGAAACGCGGACAGACAUGAACCCCAGAGGACCCAAAGACUACCACACCCCCUCCUGGACGGAGAAUGAGACCCGAUACGAUACCCGCGGUAACCACAGGCACAGGCAAUGGGACCUCCUAACCCAUCACACCCUCCCAUACCCAUCCCUUCUUCAACAUCCCCCUUUAUCCCCCCUCUAUACUUUUCCUAUUUCUCUACUAUCUCAAUUAUCCAAC